AAAUUGAAGAGUUUGAUCAUGGCUCAGAUUGAACGCUGGCGGCAGGCCUAACACAUGCAAGUCGAACGGUAACAGGAAACAGCUUGCUGUUUCGCUGACGAGUGGCGGACGGGUGAGUAAUGUCUGGGAAACUGCCUGAUGGGGGGGGAUAACUACUGGAAACGGUAGCUAAUACCGCAUAACGUCGCAAGACCAAAGAGGGGGACCUUCGGGCCUCUUGCCAUCGGAUGUGCCCAGAUGGGAUUAGCUAGUAGGUGGGGUAACGGCUCACCUAGGCGACGAUCCCUAGCUGGUCUGAGAGGAUGACCAGCCACACUGGAACUGAGACACGGUCCAGACUCCUACGGGAGGCAGCAGUGGGGAAUAUUGCACAAUGGGCGCAAGCCUGAUGCAGCCAUGCCGCGUGUAUGAAGAAGGCCUUCGGGUUGUAAAGUACUUUCAGCGGGGAGGAAGGGAGUAAAGUUAAUACCUUUGCUCAUUGACGUUACCCGCAGAAGAAGCACCGGCUAACUCCGUGCCAGCAGCCGCGGUAAUACGGAGGGUGCAAGCGUUAAUCGGAAUUACUGGGCGUAAAGCGCACGCAGGCGGUUUGUUAAGUCAGAUGUGAAAUCCCCGGGCUCAACCUGGGAACUGCAUCUGAUACUGGCAAGCUUGAGUCUCGUAGAGGGGGGUAGAAUUCCAGGUGUAGCGGUGAAAUGCGUAGAGAUCUGGAGGAAUACCGGUGGCGAAGGCGGCCCCCUGGACGAAGACUGACGCUCAGGUGCGAAAGCGUGGGGAGCAAACAGGAUUAGAUACCCUGGUAGUCCACGCCGUAAACGAUGUCGACUUGGAGGUUGUGCCCUUGAGGCGUGGCUUCCGGAGCUAACGCGUUAAGUCGACCGCCUGGGGAGUACGGCCGCAAGGUUAAAACUCAAAUGAAUUGACGGGGGCCCGCACAAGCGGUGGAGCAUGUGGUUUAAUUCGAUGCAACGCGAAGAACCUUACCUGGUCUUGACAUCCACGGAAGUUUUCAGAGAUGAGAAUGUGCCUUCGGGAACCGUGAGACAGGUGCUGCAUGGCUGUCGUCAGCUCGUGUUGUGAAAUGUUGGGUUAAGUCCCGCAACGAGCGCAACCCUUAUCCUUUGUUGCCAGCGGUCCGGCCGGGAACUCAAAGGAGACUGCCAGUGAUAAACUGGAGGAAGGUGGGGAUGACGUCAAGUCAUCAUGGCCCUUACGACCAGGGCUACACACGUGCUACAAUGGCGCAUACAAAGAGAAGCGACCUCGCGAGAGCAAGCGGACCUCAUAAAGUGCGUCGUAGUCCGGAUUGGAGUCUGCAACUCGACUCCAUGAAGUCGGAAUCGCUAGUAAUCGUGGAUCAGAAUGCCACGGUGAAUACGUUCCCGGGCCUUGUACACACCGCCCGUCACACCAUGGGAGUGGGUUGCAAAAGAAGUAGGUAGCUUAACCUUCGGGAGGGCGCUUACCACUUUGUGAUUCAUGACUGGGGUGAAGUCGUAACAAGGUAACCGUAGGGGAACCUGCGGUUGGAUCACCUCCUUACCUUAAAGAAGC
This 1554-nucleotide ribosomal RNA is filed under the name Escherichia coli. Its description in RNAcentral is "bacterial SSU rRNA". It matches the Rfam family "Bacterial small subunit ribosomal RNA". Lineage: Bacteria; Pseudomonadati; Pseudomonadota; Gammaproteobacteria; Enterobacterales; Enterobacteriaceae. The record is from RNAcentral.